CCGAAAGGCUAGGACAAUGAGAACGUUGUGAAGGGUGUCAGGUCUGGAAGGAAGCAGCACUAAGCAGCGGUUCUCAUGUGUCUGAUUAUAUUAUUAUCA
Molecule: non-coding RNA, 99 nt
Organism: Tetragenococcus muriaticus 3MR10-3
Lineage: Bacteria; Bacillati; Bacillota; Bacilli; Lactobacillales; Enterococcaceae
Rfam family: Bacterial small signal recognition particle RNA
About the family: The signal recognition particle (SRP) is a universally conserved ribonucleoprotein involved in the co-translational targeting of proteins to membranes. Archaeal SRP consists of a 7S RNA and homologues of the eukaryotic SRP19 and SRP54 proteins. In most bacteria, the SRP consists of a 4.5S RNA and the Ffh protein (a homologue of the eukaryotic SRP54 protein).
Source: Rfam